This 504-nucleotide ribosomal RNA is filed under the name uncultured bacterium. Its description in RNAcentral is "partial 16S ribosomal RNA". It matches the Rfam family "Bacterial small subunit ribosomal RNA", at positions 29 to 523 of the family's 1533-position model. The record is from RNAcentral.
AUUGAACGCUGGCGGCAGGCCUAACACAUGCAAGUCGGACGGUAGCACAGAGAGCUUGCUCUCGGGUGACGAGUGGCGGACGGGUGAGUAAUGUCUGGGGAUCUGCCCGAUAGAGGGGGAUAACCACUGGAAACGGUGGCUAAUACCGCAUAACGUCGCAAGACCAAAGAGGGGGACCUUCGGGCCUCUCACUAUCGGAUGAACCCAGAUGGGAUUAGCUAGUAGGCGGGGUAACGGCCCACCUAGGCGACGAUCCCUAGCUGGUCUGAGAGGAUGACCAGCCACACUGGAACUGAGACACGGUCCAGACUCCUACGGGAGGCAGCAGUGGGGAAUAUUGCACAAUGGGCGCAAGCCUGAUGCAGCCAUGCCGCGUGUAUGAAGAAGGCCUUCGGGUUGUAAAGUACUUUCAGCGGGGAGGAAGGCGAUGUGGUUAAUAACCGCAUUGAUUGACGUUACCCGCAGAAGAAGCACCGGCUAACUCCGUGCCAGCCGCCGCCGUAA